CCUACUGGAGGCUGCAGCUAAGAAUAUUCCGCAAUGGGAGAUAUCCUGACGGAGCGACACCGCGUGAACGAAGAAGGCAGAAAUGUUGUAAAGUUCUUUUAUACGGGAAGAAUAAGGGCAUGAGUGGAAAGUGUGCCUGAUGACGGUACCGUAUGAAUAAGCCACGGCUAACUACGUGCCAGCAGCCGCGGUAAUACGUAGGUGGCAAGCGUUGUUCGGAAUUAUUGGGCGUAAAGGGCAUGUAGGCGGUAAGAUAAGUGUGAAUUGAAAGACUGAGGCUUAACCUCACGUUUGGUUUGCAAACUGUCUAACUAGAGUGCAGAAGGGGAAACUGGAAUUCCGCGUGUAGGGGUGAAAUCUGUAGAUAUGCGGAAGAAUACCUGUGGCGAAGGCGAGUUUCUGGUCUGUAACUGACGCUGAAAUGCGAAAGUGUGGGGAGCAAACAGGAUUAGAUACCCCUGUANUC
Molecule: ribosomal RNA, 466 nt
Filed under: uncultured bacterium
Lineage: Bacteria
Description: bacterial SSU rRNA
Rfam family: Bacterial small subunit ribosomal RNA
Source: RNAcentral